CCCGCCCUCUGUGCUCCUCAGCCAAUCCCUGCUGUCCACUGAAGGGAAGGUGGAGCCCAGCGCUCAGGAGGCGGUUCAGUUGUGAUGAAAGAGAGAUGCUGCGCGGCUUCUUUUCCUCCUGGAGCGGAGAUGAGUGGGGGCAGGAGCUCCGUUGGAACCCCAGAUCCUCCAUACUGGUGACUGAACCCGAAGCAGGAGCUGGGGAGUCCAAGCUAGAAGAAAAAAUGUUUCACACAACAAAAGAACAACAACCAGGAUGGUCACAUGACAAAUCAUAACAUUCAGGUCACCAAUUGGAUCCGAGGCUCCACGCUUACCAAUUCAAAAUCAGGGAGCCUCAGAUCAGAAACCUGCAGCAGCCAAUGAGAGCGAGCUGUCUGGGAAGCGUCACCAGCGUGCAUCUGCUCGCGCUAUAAAAUGUGUAAACCUGCUGAUUCCCUCUUCUCAGCCUCGAGUUCACUCUGAACCGUCUGCAGACAUGUUGGUCCCCCGUCCAUGCCAGGAGAUGGGCCUGGGGUUUCUGGAGAUGACCGGACUGCUCCUGGGAAGGAGGAAACUUUUGUCAUCUGGAUGCAGAAGAGACCGGUCGUCUUUGUUCCCGGGUCUUCCUUCCUCACUGUCUUUGUUUUCACCCUUAUCACCAUGACUGUUAGGGGCUUUGUCACUGUGGUGCAGAGCAGACAGAAGGAGAAGUGGGACUGAUCUUGAACCAGCCGGCUGAUGGUUCUGGUGAGAAACUGCUUCUGGA
Micropterus dolomieu (smallmouth bass) is the source of this 748-nucleotide long non-coding RNA. RefSeq lists it as uncharacterized. NCBI's taxonomy places the organism in Eukaryota, Metazoa, Chordata, Actinopteri, Centrarchiformes, Centrarchidae. The transcript is spliced from 3 exons. The record is from RefSeq and is a predicted model, not a curated record.